This 351-nucleotide long non-coding RNA is filed under the name Cicer arietinum (chickpea). RNAcentral describes it as "long non-coding RNA (CARI_LNC002918)". The record is from RNAcentral. Lineage: Eukaryota; Viridiplantae; Streptophyta; Magnoliopsida; Fabales; Fabaceae.
CCACUUUUUGAACAUCUUUAUUUCUUAUUGCGCAUUUCCCUCGCCAACCACAACAAUAGAACCUUCACGAAAAAUCGAACAGAUUGCAGCAAAAAGCGCCACCAUGUGCCACUUCUCUCCAUACGUGUGAAACCCACUUUUGGUGGUGUUGUUCAGCGCAUACGUGUCCACCAUUAUUUUCUCCCAGAUUCAUUGGAAGAACCUCCUCUUUUUGUUUUUGGGAUCAGAAUCUCGAUUUGAGAUUUAUUUUAUGUGGUUAUUCUUGACAGUGAUAGAGUUUGAACAAAAACUUUGGGGUGACCAUAUUUUUAAAGUUUUAAUGGAUAAAAAGAAAUUAAUAUUGUAUAUACG